Molecule: long non-coding RNA, 623 nt
Filed under: Heterocephalus glaber (naked mole-rat)
Lineage: Eukaryota; Metazoa; Chordata; Mammalia; Rodentia; Bathyergidae
Description: lncRNA (ENSHGLG00100026660.2)
Source: RNAcentral
CCAUUCUCAGCCUGACAAGUCCUGCUCCUGACUUGGAGCUGUGACGUGCCUUCCCAAAAGCCCAUGUGGUCUGCAGUAGAAGAUGCCAGGCUCAGGACUCUCGGUAUCCCAAGACAGACUCAAAGGGGAGCCAGAACACCAUUCUACUGCAUCAUCUCGUUGUGCAAGGAUAGUGUAGGCAUAGCUGGCAGAGAGCUGGGCUCAGAACUUUGCUGGCAACGAAUACGUCACGGUCCUUGCGCUUGUGAGGCAGGCGGCGGAACCGCUGAGCUAAAUCCCUGGGACUUGGAGUAGAACGUGUACCAUCACCCGCCAUAGCCAGACUCAGGCUAAGUGGGAUCCCACUGACUAUCCUGGGUCUCAACCUUAAAACGAACAGAUUGUGAGCAACUCCUCAGCCUCCAAGAUUGCAUGAGCCAGUGCCUCGUAAUGAGUCUCUCCGCAGAUCUGUGUGUAUCCUACUAGCUCUGCCUCCCUAGAGAAUCAGAGUACGCUACCUCUUGGCAAAAAAGUCACCCCCAGUGGUCCUUUCCUCCUUCCUUUCUAUGACAGCGAUGAUGGAAUUAAAAGUCUGAGUAACAACAUAUUCAUUUAUCCAUCUGUCCAGGUGACAUUCAUUGUCU